UACGUAGGGCGCAAGCGUUAUCCGGAAUUAUUGGGCGUAAAGAGCUCGUAGGCGGUGUGUCGCGUCGGCCGUGAAAACCUGCAGCUUAACUGUGGGCUUGCGGUCGAUACGGGCAUCACUGGAGUUCGGCAGGGGAGACUGGAAUUCCUGGUGUAGCGGUGAAAUGCGCAGAUAUCGGGAGGAACACCGGUGGCGAAGGCGGUUCUCUGGGCCUUACCUGACGCUGAGGAGCGAAAGCGUGGGGAGCGAACAGG
This 254-nucleotide ribosomal RNA is filed under the name uncultured bacterium. RNAcentral describes it as "partial 16S ribosomal RNA". It matches the Rfam family "Bacterial small subunit ribosomal RNA", at positions 524 to 776 of the family's 1533-position model. The record is from RNAcentral.